GACGAACCGUGCAAACGUUGUUCGGAAUCACUGGGCUUAAAGGGCGCGUAGGCGGGUCAUCAAGUCCGGGGUGAAAUCUUUCGGCUUAACCGGAAAAUAGCCUUGGAUACUGGUGGUCUUGAGGGAGGCAGGGGCAGCGGGAACUUCCGGUGGAGCGGUGAAAUGCGUUGAUAUCGGAAGGAACGCCGGUGGCGAAAGCGCGCUGCUGGACCUUUUCUGACGCUGAGGCGCGAAAGCCAGGGGAGCAAACGGG
RNAcentral lists this ribosomal RNA (253 nucleotides) under uncultured bacterium. RNAcentral describes it as "partial 16S ribosomal RNA". It matches the Rfam family "Bacterial small subunit ribosomal RNA", at positions 524 to 776 of the family's 1533-position model. The record is from RNAcentral.